Molecule: transfer RNA, 76 nt
Filed under: Holosporaceae bacterium
Lineage: Bacteria; Pseudomonadati; Pseudomonadota; Alphaproteobacteria; Holosporales; Holosporaceae
Description: tRNA-Trp
Rfam family: tRNA
About the family: Transfer RNA (tRNA) molecules are approximately 80 nucleotides in length. Their secondary structure includes four short double-helical elements and three loops (D, anti-codon, and T loops).
Source: RNAcentral
AGGGGUGUAGCUCAGUUGGUAGAGCAGCGGUCUCCAAAACCGCAGGUCGGAGGUUCGAGCCCCCUCGCCCCUGCCA